UCCAAUGGCAGAUCUGGAGUGGCGGACGAAUUCUGCACCAGAGCACUCCGCUGACGGUGGAGGGCAGCAGAAUGAAAAAAUCUGCGAUUGAAACACUGGCACUCCCGCCAGAGCAAAUGGCAGAGGGCCGCUGUAGCGCACGUCCACUUCCGAAAGCGCCCAGGAUGGUAUGGUAUAUGUGCCUAUUUAGAUCACUGACGCGGGAACAAGGGAAUCCUAUAAGCAGCCCGAAGCCAACGUUUCGACAUACGACACUUCGCCACAGCAACAACAGCCUUCCUUGGACGAAGGCCUCUCCCUGCGAUCUCCAAUUGCCGAUGUCCUGCGCCCGCAGCUGCUGGAGACUGAAGGCCGUUGGUUGAUCGAAUGAGUCAUUUAGGGGGGGUGAGUGGCCGAAUACUGCGCCAGGGAGGCUGAUUGCUGUUCUAGUGGGGUGGAUCAGCAUCAUAAUAUUCAAUAAACGAAAACGGAAGUGGUUCAAUGAAUAAAGCACCUAUUGAACUAAGGGCGGUAUUAUCGAGUCACUAAAAGAAAGGACAAAUUAACGUCGGUGGGAGACUGCAUUCGGGACUCCUGACGGGCUACACGAAUUUAAAGUCUCUCGCAUUCGGCCUCUGUGUCGCUCCCGCCACAUUUCAUCAAAUUAUGGACGCUAUACUCGCUAACUGGACGACGUAGUUGUGUCUUCGAGCACAUUCGACGAACAUCUGGCAUGGCUGAAAAGCGUUCUAUCCGCGAGGGAAAUCUAGCUAUUAGGUCUGAGAAAUGUCACUUUGGUUUCCAGCACUCAAGUUCCUCGGACACGUGGUCAGCCCCCAGGACGUUCAGCCAGAGCCUGAGUAGCUGGCUGCC
Dermacentor andersoni is the source of this 852-nucleotide long non-coding RNA. RefSeq lists it as uncharacterized. The record is from RefSeq and is a predicted model, not a curated record. NCBI's taxonomy places the organism in Eukaryota, Metazoa, Arthropoda, Arachnida, Ixodida, Ixodidae.